AGUGGCGGACGGGUGAGUAACACGUAGGUAACCUGCCCAGAAGCGGGGGACAACAUUUGGAAACAGAUGCUAAUACCGCAUAACAGCGUUGUUCGCAUGAACAACGCUUAAAAGAUGGCUUCUCGCUAUCACUUCUGGAUGGACCUGCGGUGCAUUAGCUUGUUGGUGGGGUAACGGCCUACCAAGGCGAUGAUGCAUAGCCGAGUUGAGAGACUGAUCGGCCACAAUGGGACUGAGACACGGCCCAUACUCCUACGGGAGGCAGCAGUAGGGAAUCUUCCACAAUGGGCGCAAGCCUGAUGGAGCAACACCGCGUGAGUGAAGAAGGGUUUCGGCUCGUAAAGCUCUGUUGUUAAAGAAGAACACGUAUGAGAGUAACUGUUCAUACGUUGACGGUAUUUAACCAGAAAGUCACGGCUAACUACGUGCCAGCAGCCGCGGUAAUACGUAGGUGGCAAGCGUUAUCCGGAUUUAUUGGGCGUAAAGAGAGUGCAGGCGGUUUUCUAAGUCUGAUGUGAAAGCCUUCGGCUUAACCGGAGAAGUGCAUCGGAAACUGGAUAACUUGAGUGCAGAAGAGGGUAGUGGAACUCCAUGUGUAGCGGUGGAAUGCGUAGAUAUAUGGAAGAACACCAGUGGCGAAGGCGGCUACCUGGUCUGCAACUGACGCUGAGACUCGAAAGCAUGGGUAGCGAACAGGAUUAGAUACCCUGGUAGUCCAUGCCGUAAACGAUGAGUGCUAGGUGUUGGAGGGUUUCCGCCCUUCAGUGCCGGAGCUAACGCAUUAAGCACUCCGCCUGGGGAGUACGACCGCAAGGUUGAAACUCAAAGGAAUUGACGGGGGCCCGCACAAGCGGUGGAGCAUGUGGUUUAAUUCGAAGCUACGCGAAGAACCUUACCAGGUCUUGACAUCUUGCGCCAACCCUAGAGAUAGGGCGUUUCCUUCGGGAACGCAAUGACAGGUGGUGCAUGGUCGUCGUCAGCUCGUGUCGUGAGAUGUUGGGUUAAGUCCCGCAACGAGCGCAACCCUUGUUACUAGUUGCCAGCAUUAAGUUGGGCACUCUAGUGAGACUGCCGGUGACAAACCGGAGGAAGGUGGGGACGACGUCAGAUCAUCAUGCCCCUUAUGACCUGGGCUACACACGUGCUACAAUGGACGGUACAACGAGUCGCGAACUCGCGAGGGCAAGCAAAUCUCUUAAAACCGUUCUCAGUUCGGACUGCAGGCUGCAACUCGCCUGCACGAAGUCGGAAUCGCUAGUAAUCGCGGAUCAGCAUGCCGCGGUGAAUACGUUCCCGGGCCUUGUACACACCGCCCGUCACACCAUGAGAGUUUGUAACACCCAAAGUCGGUGGGGUAACCUUUUAGGAGCCAGCCGCCUAAGGUGGGACAGAUGAUUAGGGUGAAGUCGUAACAAGGUAGCCGUAGGAGAACCUGCGGCUGGAUCACCUCCUUU
RNAcentral lists this ribosomal RNA (1454 nucleotides) under Limosilactobacillus fermentum. RNAcentral's name for it is "bacterial SSU rRNA". It matches the Rfam family "Bacterial small subunit ribosomal RNA". Lineage: Bacteria; Bacillati; Bacillota; Bacilli; Lactobacillales; Lactobacillaceae. The record is from RNAcentral.